AACGAACGCUGGCGGCAUGCCUAACACAUGCAAGUCGAACGAAGGCUUCGGCCUUAGUGGCGCACGGGUGAGUAACGCGUGGGAAACUGCCUAUUGGUUGGGAAUAACGACGGGAAAGUGUCGCUAAUACCGCAUAAGCCCUUCGGGGGAAAGAUUUAUCGCCGAUAGAUGUGCCCGCGUCCGAUUAGCUAGUUGGUGAGGUAAUGGCUCACCAAGGCGACGAUCGGUAGCUGGUCUGAGAGGAUGAUCAGCCACACUGGGACUGAGACACGGCCCAGACUCCUACGGGAGGCAGCAGUGGGGAAUAUUGGACAAUGGGCGAAAGCCUGAUCCAGCAAUGCCGCGUGAGUGAUGAAGGCCUUAGGGUUGUAAAGCUCUUUCGGGUGGGACGAUGAUGACGGUACCACCAGAAGAAGCCCCGGCUAACUUCGUGCCAGCAGCCGCAGUAA
Molecule: ribosomal RNA, 449 nt
Filed under: uncultured bacterium
Lineage: Bacteria
Description: partial 16S ribosomal RNA
Rfam family: Bacterial small subunit ribosomal RNA
Source: RNAcentral